UUUCCAGACUCCUACGGGAGGCAGCAGUGGGGAAUAUUGCACAAUGGGGGAAACCCUGAUGCAGCGACGCCGCGUGAGUGAAGAAGUAUUUCGGUACGUAAAGCUCUAUCAGCAGGGAAGAAAAUGACGGUACCUGAUUAAGAAGCCCCGGCUAACUACGUGCCAGCAGCCGCGGUAAUACGUAGGGGGCAAGCGUUAUCCGGAUUCACUGGGUGUAAAGGGAGCGUAGACGGCGACGCAAGUCUGGAGUGAAAGCCCGGGGCCCAACCCCGGGACUGCUCUGGAAACUGCGUCGCUGGAGUACGGGAGGGGCAGGCGGAAUUCCUGGUGUAGCGGUGAAAUGCGUAGAUAUUAGGAGGAACACCAGUGGCGAAGGCGGCUUACUGGACGGUAACUGACGUUGAGGCUCGAAAGCGUGGGGAGCAAACAGGAUUAGAUACCCGUGUAUCC
RNAcentral lists this ribosomal RNA (450 nucleotides) under uncultured bacterium. RNAcentral describes it as "bacterial SSU rRNA". It matches the Rfam family "Bacterial small subunit ribosomal RNA", at positions 328 to 795 of the family's 1533-position model. The record is from RNAcentral.